UACGUAGGGUGCGAGCGUUAAUCGGAAUUACUGGGCGUAAAGCGUGCGUAGGCGGUUGGCAAAGUCAGCUGUGAAAGCCCCGGGCUUAACCUGGGAAUGGCGGUUGAAACUAGUCGACUAGAAUCUGGCAGAGGGGGGUGGAAUUCCAAGUGUAGCAGUGAAAUGCGUAGAGAUUUGGAGGAACACCGAUGGCGAAGGCAGCCCCCUGGGAUAAAACUGACGCUCAAGCACGAAAGCGUGGGUAGCAAACAGG
Molecule: ribosomal RNA, 253 nt
Filed under: uncultured bacterium
Lineage: Bacteria
Description: partial 16S ribosomal RNA
Rfam family: Bacterial small subunit ribosomal RNA
Source: RNAcentral